RNAcentral lists this ribosomal RNA (251 nucleotides) under uncultured prokaryote. RNAcentral's name for it is "partial 16S rRNA". It matches the Rfam family "Bacterial small subunit ribosomal RNA", at positions 525 to 775 of the family's 1533-position model. The record is from RNAcentral.
ACGGGGGGGGCAAGCGGUGGACGGAAUGAGAAGGCGUAAAGGGCAGGUAGGCGGAUCAGUAAGUCGGACGUUUAAUCCUCGGUCUUAAGCUGAGACAUGCGUUUGAUACUGUUGAUCUAGAAUGCGGCGGGGGAAGACGGAAUUCCGGGUGUAGCGGUGGAAUGCGCAGGUAUCCGGAGGAACACCGAAGGCGAAGGCAGUCUUCCAUACCGUAAUUGACGCUGAACUGCGAAGGUGUGGGGAUCAAACAG